GGACUGUAGUCUGCAACCCGACUACACGAAGCUGGAAUCGCUAGUAAUCGCGAAUCAGAAUGUCGCGGUGAAUACGUUCCCGGGUCUUGUACACACCGCCCGUCACACCAUGGGAGUCGGGAAUGCCCGAAGUCAGUGACCCAACCUUUGGAGGGAGCUGCCGAAGGCAGGUCUGAUAACUGGGGUGAAGUCGUAACAAGGUAUC
Molecule: ribosomal RNA, 205 nt
Filed under: uncultured bacterium
Lineage: Bacteria
Description: partial 16S ribosomal RNA
Rfam family: Bacterial small subunit ribosomal RNA
Source: RNAcentral